Long non-coding RNA from Aquila chrysaetos chrysaetos, 1920 nucleotides. The record is from Ensembl. NCBI's taxonomy places the organism in Eukaryota, Metazoa, Chordata, Aves, Accipitriformes, Accipitridae.
CUUCCCUGCAAGGAGUAUGACGCUAAAAUUGGUGGUUUCCUCCUGCAUUUGCUUCAUCAGCAUGGCUGUUUUAAUUGCACUGGCAGCAGCCUGCAUCUUGUAAAUCUUCACACCACAAUUCCCAUGCACCCUGCUUCUUAAGCUUUUCGUAGGCUGAACAAAAGCCAACCACCAAUUCUUCUUUUAGACUUUGCUAUUUUAAACUGUUUUUCAGCAUUUGUUAGAUUUCCUUUAAAAUCUCCCAUUUUGUGUGGGUUCAGACCUCACCAUCCAUUAUUCUAACUCAUUUUCCCCUGCUUCAAGAUGGUAAAAUAAAAGCUGCCACCCUUUCAGUCCAUCUCUUCUAUUUCCCUAUAUUACUGCUUUGGUCACCAGAUGCCCAGGUACUUAGUGAUCCUUCAUCACCCAGCUCACUUAGGUAUUUUAAAAUAUGUUACAGCCAAAUCAUGGUAGUGACAUAAGGAGUUUUAAUAUAUUUUCUCUGACUUUUGGUGAUCCCCAGUCAUCUAGGACGCUAAGAGUGAAUUACAGCCGGAUCAGAAGACUGAAUCAAAGAGCAUCUCUUAUCUCCCCUUGGAUUUUCGGUGAUCCUUGAUAGCAGAGAAAGCUGGGUCACAGCUAGAUCAUGACAGUAAGGAGAAAUGGAGAUGGGAGUAUUGGAGAUAAAACAAGGAGUCGGAACACUGAAAAGAAGAGAUGCUUUUGGAAGAGCAAAGUGGCCAGUUCUGGUUUUGUCUAGUUAAUCGUCCUCCAGCAAAGCCUGACUCUCUGUUAAUGCCAACAGUCGUAGCUGGAUGGAGGAUGCUAGUGAGUGUAUAAUGGCAGCUGCUUUUCCCUUGCAGUCUUUAUUACAAAGAUCUCAUUCUUGCCUCUGUGGGACCUAUUGAAAUCCUGAGUAUGGCAAGUGCCGGAGAACCAACCACUGUUGACAACUGGCCGGUUGUAGCAGGACACAAAAACCUUCAUUGCUUGGAAUUGGGUGAUUCAAGUAGCCUCCACGAUGUCUUGUCUUGGGCUGAACCAUCUACUGAGGGGAAAAGAAACAGAGGCACAGAUUUUAUGUUGGAAGAAGCUUUGAAGUAGUCUAUUAUAUGAAGAAUCAUCUGCAGACCCUUAAACAGGCGUAUUAUGCGAUAGACCUGCGGUGACACCUUUCCUCCCUCUGGCUGCAUAUCCAGGCAGCAGCACCCAACGGAGCCAGAGGAACAGAAAAGGCCGUGGCAGCUGAAAGGGAGAGGCAGGACAGACGGAAAAGCUGGAGAGAUUUGGUGGAAAAGGGAAACAAAACCAAGGGCAGGGAAGAUGAGGCAUCCUCAGCCCAGAAGUAAAGGAGAAACAGGUUGUGAAAGCGGUCUAAAAAGAAGCAAGAGUGAACUGCGCUGCAGAGCCUACGCAUCGUUCCUCUGUUGAUGGCUCGGGUCCGUGGCUUUUCUGCUGUCUCUAAAUCCUCUAUCUGGUGCAUGAUAUCAUUUUCCAGGCUGUGUCUUCACCUGGCAUGGAACAUUGACCACCAAGCCUCUGUCCUUUCCAACUAGCAAGUCACCUAGGACCAGCCACUUGGUAUUUUGAUCCCUUUCCCACGUUUCUUACCUGCUCAGUGCAGGAUUUGGCAUUUGCUUAUGUUAAACUACUUGAAGUUCUUGUCAGCCUGCCCAUCUUUCUCGCCCUCCACCAUAUCAACUGUUCCCCCCCCCCCCGUGUUUGAUACAAUCAGACAUUCUCUAUAAAGGUGCAUUUCUCCCAUUUCCCCUUUUGGAAGUGAAGGCAUUUAAACAGCCCUGGCACCAGCACCGACACCUUUAGGAACGCAUCUUGUAACCGGCUACUUUUUGAGCACGCCACGACGAGGAGGUCGAUAGAUCUGGUCAAAAGAAUUUCGUCCUGUGCCUACGGCUGCACCAACGCUCUAUUACAGCCCAG